CAGACUGUUCCUCUAUAAACCAGGCUGUUCUAAAUGUGUCUGUUCCUCUAUAAACCAGGCUGUUCUAAAUGUGUCUGUUCCUCUAUAAACCAGACUGUUCCUCUAUAAACCAGACUGUUCUAAAUGUGUCUGUUCCUCUAUAAACCAGGCUGUUCUAAAUGAGUCUGUUCCUCUAUAAACCAGGCUGUUCCUCUAUAAACCAGACUGUUCUAAAUGUGUUUGUUCCUCUAUAAUCCAGGCUGUUAUUAAAUGUGUCUGUUCCUCUAUAAACCAGGCUGUUCUUCUAUAAACCAGUCUGUUCUAAAUGUGUCUGUUCCUCUAUAAACCAGACUGUUCUAAAUGUGUCUGUUCCUCUAUAAACCAGGCUGUUCUAAAUGUGUCUGUUCCUCUAUAAACCAGGCUGUUAUUAAAUGUGUCUGUUCCUCUAUAAACCAGGCUGUUCCUCUAUAAACCAGACUGUUCUUAAAUGUGUCUGUUCCUCUAUAAACCAGGCUGUACCUCUAUAAACCAGACUGUUCUAAAUGUGUCUGUUCCUCUAUAAACCAGGCUGUUCCUCUAU
RNAcentral lists this long non-coding RNA (559 nucleotides) under Salmo salar (Atlantic salmon). RNAcentral describes it as "lncRNA (ENSSSAG00000121863.1)". The record is from RNAcentral. Lineage: Eukaryota; Metazoa; Chordata; Actinopteri; Salmoniformes; Salmonidae.